UACGUAGGUGGCGAGCGUUGUCCGGAUUAUUGGGCGUAAAGGGCUCGUAGGUGGCGGGUCACGUCGGGUGUGAAAGCCCGGGGCUUAACUCCGGGUCUGCAUUCGAUACGGGUCUGCUGGGGUCCGGCAGGGGAGACUGGAAUUCCUGGUGUAGCGGUGAAAUGCGCAGAUAUCAGGAGGAACACCGGUGGCGAAGGCGGGUCUCUGGGCCGGUACCGACGCUGAGAGCGAAAGCGUGGGGAGCGAACAGGG
This 252-nucleotide ribosomal RNA is filed under the name uncultured bacterium. Its description in RNAcentral is "partial 16S ribosomal RNA". It matches the Rfam family "Bacterial small subunit ribosomal RNA", at positions 524 to 777 of the family's 1533-position model. The record is from RNAcentral.